Molecule: transfer RNA, 72 nt
Filed under: Synechococcus phage S-H25
Lineage: Duplodnaviria; Heunggongvirae; Uroviricota; Caudoviricetes; Pantevenvirales; Kyanoviridae
Rfam family: tRNA
About the family: Transfer RNA (tRNA) molecules are approximately 80 nucleotides in length. Their secondary structure includes four short double-helical elements and three loops (D, anti-codon, and T loops).
Source: Rfam by way of RNAcentral
GCCCUAAUAGCUCAGUGGUAGAGCAACCGCCUUGUAAGCGGUAGGUCGUUGGUUCAAAUCCGACUUGGGGCU